RNAcentral lists this ribosomal RNA (293 nucleotides) under uncultured bacterium. RNAcentral describes it as "partial 16S ribosomal RNA". It matches the Rfam family "Bacterial small subunit ribosomal RNA", at positions 8 to 289 of the family's 1533-position model. The record is from RNAcentral.
AGAGUUUGAUCCUGGCUCAGGAUGAACGCUGUCGGCGUGCCUAAUACAUGCAAGUCGAACGCGCAGCGAGAGGUGCUUGCACCUUUCAAGCGAGUGGCGAACGGGUGAGUAACACGUGGAUAACUUGCCUCAAGGCUGGGGAUAACAUUUGGAAACAGAUGCUAAUACCGAAUAAAACUUAGUAUCGCAUGAUAUAAAGUUAAAAGGCGCUACGGCGUCACCUACAGAUGGAUCCGCGUGUGCAUUAGUUAGUUGGUGGGGUAAAGGCUUACCUAGACAAUGAUGCAUAGCCU